AUGCGGCGGUGCCGGGGCGCGGGGCUGGCGGCGCUGGCCGCGGUGCUCCUGGUGGCUGUGGUCAGAGCCCAGGUGCAGCAGGAGGCGUCGGCAGAGACCACCGAGGGCACCAGCAUCAGCAUCAACUGCUCACACCCCAACAUACAGACCGGCGACUACAUCCACUGGUACCGCCAGCUCCCGGGCCGAGGCCCCGCAUUCCUCGUGAGCACUCUUAAAGAUUCCAAAAAGCUGACGGACCCGCCGGGGCGGCUGUCGGUGGCGGCAGACCGCCGGUCCAGCGCCCUGUGGCUCGCCCGGCCCCGGCGCGGGGACGCGGCGGUGUAUUACUGCGCCCUGAGAGACACGGGGAGAGGAGCCGGGGCUGCGGCCGGGCACGAACCGCCGCGGGCGGGGCCGGGCCUGUGGGGCGGGGGCGGGGGGACAGCCCCGGGCGGGCCCGCCAGGGGGCGCUGCCGCUCCGCCCGCCGGCGCCUCCUCGCCCCGCCCGGCCCCGCCCGGCCCCGCCCGGCCCCGCCCAUCCCUGCCAACCGUGUGAGCAAAGGGCCCUGGGUGCAAGUGGCAGAGGAGCCCUGCUCCGGGCAGCAGACAUCAGAAGACAUGAAAAUCAAGUAG
This is a non-coding RNA of Aquila chrysaetos chrysaetos, 615 nucleotides long. The record is from the annotation of a RefSeq genome assembly. NCBI's taxonomy places the organism in Eukaryota, Metazoa, Chordata, Aves, Accipitriformes, Accipitridae.